RNAcentral lists this long non-coding RNA (568 nucleotides) under Bos taurus (domestic cattle). RNAcentral's name for it is "long non-coding RNA NONBTAT014913". The record is from RNAcentral. Lineage: Eukaryota; Metazoa; Chordata; Mammalia; Artiodactyla; Bovidae.
GGAAGUCGUAACUACUGAGGACAUAAAAUCUAGCAAAAACAAUGACAUCUAAACCUAAGGAACUGUUUUCAAUUCACUUCAAGGCUCCCCAGAAGGCUUUAUCUAGUGUCCCUUGGUGUUUGUCCCACAGCUAAGGUUGUCAACCAGAAGACUACACACCAGAAACCUAUGCUUAGACAUCUUUACAGAACCCAUGAUUUACAGAACCAUCAUACAUUCUCCAUGUAACAUGAGAAGUUACAAUGACUGUAAAAGAUUCUUAUAAACAUGCAUAGGAAUUUAUUCUAUAACUUAUGACAUUGUAUAAGAACCCUAAAAAUUAAAGGAGAAAUAAGACAUAUAAAAUCAGAGAUGCACUCUGAACUCUCAUUGCUAAUGUUACAUCUGCCCGAAAACAUUCCUUCUCCUUAAGGACUAAAAGGGUUUCACAUUGAAGAUGUCCCUACAAAAAGACAAGGAAAAUGGCAGAGGAGAGCCUGAACUGAGUGACUGAUCACUGACUUCUAAUUUCAAAAAGAAUCAAGUAGUUAUACCCUAGGCGAUGCUAGUCAGUGUGGUCCUUAGACAC